ACCUUAGAGACCAACUAAGUUUGUUAUUGGUAUGAGCUUUCGUGUGCAUGAAGACGUGUGCAUGCACACAAAAGCUCAUACCAAUACCAAACUUAGUUGGUCUCUAAGGU
Molecule: microRNA precursor, 110 nt
Filed under: Podarcis lilfordi (Lilford's wall lizard)
Lineage: Eukaryota; Metazoa; Chordata; Lepidosauria; Squamata; Lacertidae
Source: RNAcentral